GCAUGUGGGAUCUUCACGGACCGGGAAGCAAGGUAAAGUGGUGUCCAGAGCAUGAACGCUGGAGCUGGACUACUUGGAUUCAAAUCCCUGCUCAAUUGUCUGUUGGCUGUGUGACUUGGGAAGUCCUUCUAUAAUGAAGAGUUGAAGGCUGAAGCCGACGCUUUCUGAACGUGGGACAGGCUUGCCAGCUCCAUCUUGUCAGUUUUCUCUUGGUGGAUGAUGGGACAAGGGAAGUUUCUCUCAAGAGACAAUUAAAAUAGUGUUUUAAGAAAUCCUCAGCCAGUAAAAAGUUGCCUACAGACGUAUAAGCCUCCUCUCUGUGUCAGUUUCUUAACCUCCUAAUCUCAACUGU
Delphinapterus leucas (beluga whale) is the source of this 352-nucleotide non-coding RNA. The record is from RefSeq and is a predicted model, not a curated record. NCBI's taxonomy places the organism in Eukaryota, Metazoa, Chordata, Mammalia, Artiodactyla, Monodontidae.